ACAGCUACCUUAGAGGGCAUCUCCUCCGCC
Molecule: small RNA, 30 nt
Filed under: Bombyx mori (domestic silkworm)
Lineage: Eukaryota; Metazoa; Arthropoda; Insecta; Lepidoptera; Bombycidae
Description: ovarian small RNA-4365
Source: RNAcentral